UCAGGAUGAACGCUGGCGGCGUGCCUAAUACAUGCAAGUCGAGCGAACGGACGAGAAGCUUGCUUCUCUGAUGUUAGCGGCGGACGGGUGAGUAACACGUGGAUAACCUACCUAUAAGACUGGGAUAACUUCGGGAAACCGGAGCUAAUACCGGAUAAUAUUUUGAACCGCAUGGUUCAAAAGUGAAAGACGGUCUUGCUGUCACUUAUAGAUGGAUCCGCGCUGCAUUAGCUAGUUGGUAAGGUAACGGCUUACCAAGGCAACGAUGCAUAGCCGACCUGAGAGGGUGAUCGGCCACACUAGAACUGAGACACGGUCCAGACUCCUACGGGAGGCAGCAGUAGGGAAUCUUCCGCAAUGGGCGAAAGCCUGACGGAGCAACGCCGCGUGAGUGAUGAAGGUCUUCGGAUCGUAAAACUCUGUUAUUAGGGAAGAACAUAUGUGUAAGUAACUGUGCACAUCUUGACGGUACCUAAUCAGAAAGCCACGGCUAACUACGUGCCAGCAGCCGCGGUAAUACGUAGGUGGCAAGCGUUAUCCGGAAUUAUUGGGCGUAAAGCGCGCGUAGGCGGUUUUUUAAGUCUGAUGUGAAAGCCCACGGCUCAACCGUGGAGGGUCAUUGGAAACUGGAAAACUUGAGUGCAGAAGAGGAAAGUGGAAUUCCAUGUGUAGCGGUGAAAUGCGCAGAGAUAUGGAGGAACACCAGUGGCGAAGGCGACUUUCUGGUCUGUAACUGACGCUGAUGUGCGAAAGCGUGGGGAUCAAACAGGAUUAGAUACCCUGGUAGUCCACGCCGUAAACGAUGAGUGCUAAGUGUUAGGGGGUUUCCGCCCCUUAGUGCUGCAGCUAACGCAUUAAGCACUCCGCCUGGGGAGUACGACCGCAAGGUUGAAACUUAAAGGAAUUGACGGC
Molecule: ribosomal RNA, 912 nt
Filed under: uncultured bacterium
Lineage: Bacteria
Description: bacterial SSU rRNA
Rfam family: Bacterial small subunit ribosomal RNA
Source: RNAcentral